GAUGAACGCUGGCGGCGUGCCUAAUACAUGCAAGUCGAGCGAACAGACGAGGAGCUUGCUCCUCUGACGUUAGCGGCGGACGGGUGAGUAACACGUGGAUAACCUACCUAUAAGACUGGGAAAACUUCGGGAAACCGGCGCUAAUACCGGAUAAUAUAUUGAACCGCAUGGUUCAAUAGUGAAAGACGGUUUUGCUGUCACUUAUAGAUGGAUCCGCGCCGCAUUAGCUAGUUGGUAAGGUAACGGCUUACCAAGGCAACGAUGCGUAGCCGACCUGAGAGGGUGAUCGGCCGCACUGGAACUGAGACACGGUCCAGACUCCUACGGGAGGCAGCAGUAGGGAAUCUUCCGCAGUGGGCGAAAGCCUGACGGAGCAACGCCGCGUGAGUGACGAAGGUCUUCGGAUCGUAAAACUCUGUUAUUAGGGAAGAACAAAUGUGUAAGUAACUAUGCACGUCUUGACGGUACCUAAUCAGAAAGCCACGGCUAACUACGUG
Molecule: ribosomal RNA, 497 nt
Filed under: uncultured bacterium
Lineage: Bacteria
Description: partial 16S ribosomal RNA
Rfam family: Bacterial small subunit ribosomal RNA
Source: RNAcentral